GGCCAUGGGGGGGGGCUACACAUGCAGUCGAACGAUGAUGCCCAGCUUGCUGGGUUGAUUAGUGGCGAACGGGUGAGUAAUACGUGAGUAACCUGCCCUUGACUCUGGGAUAAGCCUGGGAAACUGGGUCUAAUACUGGAUACUACCUUUCAUCGCAUGGUGGGGGGUGGAAAGGGUUUUACUGGUUUUGGAUGGGCUCACGGCCUAUCAGCUUGUUGGUGGGGUAAUGGCUCACCAAGGCGACGACGGGUAGCCGGCCUGAGAGGGUGACCGGCCACACUGGGACUGAGACACGGCCCAGACUCCUACGGGAGGCAGCAGUGGGGAAUAUUGCACAAUGGGCGAAAGCCUGAUGCAGCGACGCCGCGUGAGGGAUGACGGCCUUCGGGUUGUAAACCUCUUUCAGUAGGGAAGAAGCGAAAGUGACGGUACCUGCAGAAGAAGCGCCGGCUAACUACGUGCCAGCAGCCGCGGUAAUACGUAGGGCGCAAGCGUUGUCCGGAAUUAUUGGGCGUAAAGAGCUCGUAGGCGGUUUGUCGCGUCUGCUGUGAAAGCCCGGGGCUCAACCCCGGGUCUGCAGUGGGUACGGGCAGACUAGAGUGCAGUAGGGGAGACUGGAAUUCCUGGUGUAGCGGUGAAAUGCGCAGAUAUCAGGAGGAACACCGAUGGCGAAGGCAGGUCUCUGGGCUGUUACUGACGCUGAGGAGCGAAAGCAUGGGGAGCGAACAGGAUUAGAUACCCUGGUAGUCCAUGCCGUAAACGUUGGGCACUAGGUGUGGGGGACAUUCCACGUUUUCCGCGCCGUAGCUAACGCAUUAAGUGCCCCGCCUGGGGAGUACGGCCGCAAGGCUAAAACUCAAAGGAAUUGACGGGGGCCCGCACAAGCGGCGGAGCAUGCGGAUUAAUUCGAUGCAACGCGAAGAACCUUACCAAGGCUUGACAUUCACCGGACCGCCUCAGAGAUGGGGUUUCCCUUCGGGGCUGGUGGACAGGUGGUGCAUGGUUGUCGUCAGCUCGUGUCGUGAGAUGUUGGGUUAAGUCCCGCAACGAGCGCAACCCUCGUUCUAUGUUGCCAGCACGUGAUGGUGGGGACUCAUAGGAGACUGCCGGGGUCAACUCGGAGGAAGGUGGGGAUGACGUCAAAUCAUCAUGCCCCUUAUGUCUUGGGCUUCACGCAUGCUACAAUGGCCGGUACAAAGGGUUGCGAUACUGUGAGGUGGAGCUAAUCCCAAAAAGCCGGUCUCAGUUCGGAUUGAGGUCUGCAACUCGACCUCAUGAAGUCGGAGUCGCUAGUAAUCGCAGAUCAGCAACAAUGCGGUGAAUACGUUCCCGGGCCUUGUACACACCGCCCGUCAAGUCACGAAAGUUGGUAACACCCGAAGCCGGUGGCCUAACCCCUUGUGGGAGGAGCCGUCGAAGGUGGAACGUGUA
This 1431-nucleotide ribosomal RNA is filed under the name Kocuria sp. HY6(2010). Its description in RNAcentral is "bacterial SSU rRNA". It matches the Rfam family "Bacterial small subunit ribosomal RNA". The record is from RNAcentral. Lineage: Bacteria; Bacillati; Actinomycetota; Actinomycetes; Micrococcales; Micrococcaceae.